CUGUCUGGCAGAGUGACUCCAGGGUAUCAGAUUAUUUAUCAUUUUUCCCCUUAUUUUCCCUAGGUUCUUCCAAUCCUCAGCUCCCACAGACUUCAUAUUUCUUCCUGAAAAAAGUACAAAAGCUCUAAUGCAUUUCAACUUGUCCAAAUGGGCCCUCAAUAUGGAAGAUGACUUCAGUCUCUCAAAUAGCAUGGAUCCUAAGAGGUAUAUAAUAUUGGGGAAAAUCCACAGGUGUGGAGGUCCAGAGCCUGAGAGUAUAGUCCUGCUUCCACCAUGAAGAAGGGUCUAUGGACAUUGAAGAAAAGUUUAGUAUCAGCACAAAAAGAGGACGACACCUGAGUAGAAUCAUGGCUCCUCUACUCAGGAGCAGCAGCUAAGGAGAAGGAAGAGCAGCUUGUGCUGUGACCUUGGGUAAGUCCUUGGGCUUAUCUGUGCCUCUGUUUCCUCCUCUAUUGAGUC
RNAcentral lists this long non-coding RNA (459 nucleotides) under Canis lupus familiaris (dog). RNAcentral describes it as "lncRNA (ENSCAFG00000057683.1)". The record is from RNAcentral. Lineage: Eukaryota; Metazoa; Chordata; Mammalia; Carnivora; Canidae.